RNAcentral lists this ribosomal RNA (1497 nucleotides) under Triticum aestivum (bread wheat). Its description in RNAcentral is "partial small subunit ribosomal RNA". Lineage: Eukaryota; Viridiplantae; Streptophyta; Magnoliopsida; Poales; Poaceae. The record is from RNAcentral.
AUGGCGCCGACCCGCAAAAGAUGGAGGAGACCGCGGAGUUCAUGCUGUCGUACAUCUACCAAAGCCUCCCCGACUACCCCCUCUACAACGGCGCGCGGCUCACCGCCCUCGCCGCCGCCCGCCGCGCCGACCGCAUCAGCCGCCUCCCCCGCGACCUCCUGCGCAACAUCCUCGCCCGCCUCCCCGUCAAGAACGCCGCGCGCACCGCCGCGCUCUCCUCCCGCUGGCGCGCGCUCUGGCGCUCCACGCCCCUCGUCCUCGUCGACAUCCACCUCCUCCCCAAAGCCCAGGACUUUAGCCCCACGCCGGCCAACACGCCGGCCGUCACCGCCGCCGUCUCCCGCAUCCUCGAAGCGCAACCCGGCCCCUUCAGCUGCGUCCACCUCAUCUGCAGCCGCAUGGACGGGUACCGCGCCCAGCUCGCCCGCUGGCUCCAGCUCCUCGCCGCCCCGGGCUUCCAGGACCUCGUGCUCGUCAACCGCCCGUGGCCGUUCAACGUGCCGCUUCCCGCCUCGCUCUUCACCAUCACCACCCUCACCCGCCUCUACGUCGGCGUCUGGAAGCUGCCGGGCACGGCGGCCCUGCAUGGUGCCUCCUUUCCCAACCUCCGGGAGCUCGGCCUCUAUUUCGUCUAAAUGGAGCACGGCUUCGUCGACUCCCUCCCUUGUCGCCAGGAGCCCCGUCCUGGAGGUCCUCAACAUCGUGGGAUACAUCAAGUGCGGGUUGCGUCUGCGUCUCGUCAGCCAGAGCCUGCGGUGCAUCCAAAUCUGCGGCUCUGUUCUGGAGAACAUCGCCGUGGUGAAGGCUCCAUGUCUCGAGCGGCUCAUCCUGUCAUCACCUUACACGCCCAAUCGUGGCUUGUGCGCAAGGCUCAGGAUUGUCGAUGCCCCCAAGUUGCACACCUUUGGAUAUUUAGAGCCAGGACAGGUCCUAGAGGUCCAUGGCACUGUUAUCAUGCCCGGGAUAAAGCCUAGCGAAAAUGCCAUGCUCACGGGUGUGAAGAUUCUGAGUUUGGAAGUGCGUUUCGGUGUUCGCAAUGAUGUUAAGAUGGUGCCCACCUUCCUCAAAUGCUUUCCCAAUGCCGAGAGACUGCAUAUUGUGAGUAAAAAAUGUGAUGAACCCACUGGUGAGCCCCUCACCGUCAAGUUCUGGGAGGAGUCUGGUCCCAUUGAGAACGUCGUCUCGCGCAUCAACCUGAUGACUUUCCGUGAGUUCAAAGGGGACCGAGGCGAGGUUGGUUUCCUGGAGUUCGUCUUCAAGAGUGCGCGGGCGCUGGAGAUGGUUGCCAUUUUCAUGGCCAAUCCAAGCUUCACACCGUUCUCGAUGGACGAGGCGCUUGUCAAGGCGCAAUACAGCGCCAGAAACCUGGCAAGUAAAUCCUGCAAAAAGUGUAUCAUCUGGAGUAGCCGUCCUGAAGGCGGCGAUCCUUGGAGCCUCAGAGUCGGGGCAGAUUUCUCCUUCGAGGACCCGUUCACGGUGAGGGAGGAGGAUAGCUGA